Molecule: transfer RNA, 82 nt
Filed under: Actinoplanes couchii
Lineage: Bacteria; Bacillati; Actinomycetota; Actinomycetes; Micromonosporales; Micromonosporaceae
Description: tRNA-Ala
Source: RNAcentral
GUCGCUGGUGGACGGGUAACCGGCCUGCUCACUGGCGUUCAGCAUGGCCCGGAACAGCGGGUUCGUGCCCGGCCCGCGUUCC